Dermochelys coriacea (leatherback sea turtle) is the source of this 1114-nucleotide long non-coding RNA. RefSeq lists it as uncharacterized. The transcript is spliced from 2 exons. Lineage: Eukaryota; Metazoa; Chordata; Testudines; Dermochelyidae. The record is from RefSeq and is a predicted model, not a curated record.
UUAGCUCUGACCCCUUGAAGCAGUGAAUGCCACAGGAUGGCUAUAGCCUUUGUGAAGUAUUUCCCUUGGUUGGUUCUAAAUUGGUGGAGAGUUAACUAAAUGGAGUGUCCCAGGGUUCUCAUAUUAUCAGACAUCAUCCAUGAGAUGCACUGGUUGACUGAUUGUUAAUGGAAUACAGAAUCAUUCACCUCUAGGUUAUUGUUUCAUAUCCAGCCUAGGUCAGUGGAGACUAAAAGUUCUUGCCAGGUGCUGGCUGUUCAGUGGCCUUUGUGAAACGAGUUCGGAGAAGGGGGGUUCGGUCUCAGUCCAAUUGCAAUGGAAACAAAUGUUCACAUAGUAAAAGCCACUGCCACAACUGGAUUAAUUAGCUGCCUCAGCAGAGAGGACUGACUGGGAGUGAAGAAUGAGGAACCCCUCUCGCUUCUGGAAUUGAUCCCUCCUGGUCAGAGGAGAGGCACAUGGACCCAAUGCAGAGAGUGAACUGGAGUCUGUUCUGACUCACACACCAUCCACAGAGUUGUUAACUAAUGUUCCUGCUGUAGAAUCAUUAUCACUGGUUGCCAGCGCCCCAGGAAGACCCCAACUGCACUCCCGGACAAUGACAUGCAAGAUAACUGGAAAAAUGUAAACCUGGAAGCGGACAGAUCUAGGGUUAAGUGCAGCAUGAGGGAAUACACAAACUCAGGAAACAAGAUGGUAAACAGCUUGGGGGUCAGAAAGAGGUGAUGAGGACAGGUUCAUCCAAUGGUCACAAGAUAGUUUCUAAACAUAAGCAGGCCUGACUGUUUGUCGUUCACAAUAAGGACUCUACACCACAUGUAGAAUAAAAGGAACUUUAAGUCUUAGAAUUGGAUCAGAUUCUCAGCUGCCAUAAAUCAGCAAAGCUUAAACUAAGUCAGUGGAGCAACCCCUAUAUACACCAGCUGAGAAUCUGACCCUACUGAGUCACGUUCAGGUCACUUUGAAAUAAUGGCCCUUGUGCAAUCUGAUUCUCACUGCAGUAGAAAGAGAGAAUCUGGAGCAAGUCUGCCUGGUGCAAGGCCUGAGGGCUGAACCAAAGUCAGCAAAAGUUAUGCAAUGAGCAAAAGUCAGGCCCUGUCAGAAAAGCAGAUGC